This 1185-nucleotide ribosomal RNA is filed under the name Aspergillus keveii. RNAcentral's name for it is "LSU rRNA". It matches the Rfam family "Eukaryotic large subunit ribosomal RNA", at positions 208 to 1409 of the family's 3401-position model. Lineage: Eukaryota; Fungi; Ascomycota; Eurotiomycetes; Eurotiales; Aspergillaceae. The record is from RNAcentral.
GAGGGUGAGAAUCCCGUCUUGGGCAGGGUGCCCGUGCCCGUGUGAAGCUCCUUCGACGAGUCGAGUUGUUUGGGAAUGCAGCUCUAAAUGGGUGGUAAAUUUCAUCUAAAGCUAAAUACCGGCCGGAGACCGAUAGCGCACAAGUAGAGUGAUCGAAAGAUGAAAAGCACUUUGAAAAGAGAGUUAAACAGCACGUGAAAUUGUUGAAAGGGAAGCGCUUGCGACCAGACUCGGCCCCGGGGUUCAGCCAGCACUCGUGCUGGUGUACUUCCCCGGGGGCGGGCCAGCGUCGGUUUGGGCGGCCGGUCAAAGGCCCCAGGAAUGUGUCGCCCUCCGGGGCGUCUUAUAGCCUGGGGUGCAAUGCGGCCAGCCCGGACCGAGGAACGCGCUUCGGCACGGACGCUGGCGUAAUGGUCGCAAACGACCCGUCUUGAAACACGGACCAAGGAGUCUAACAUCUACGCGAGUGUUCGGGUGUCAAACCCGUACGCGCAGUGAAAGCGAACGGAGGUGGGAGCCCCGCAAGGGGCGCACCAUCGACCGAUCCUGAUGUCUUCGGAUGGAUUUGAGUAAGAGCGUAGCUGUGGGGACCCGAAAGAUGGUGAACUAUGCCUGAAUAGGGCGAAGCCAGAGGAAACUCUGGUGGAGGCUCGCAGCGGUUCUGACGUGCAAAUCGAUCGUCAAAUUUGGGUAUAGGGGCGAAAGACUAAUCGAACCAUCUGGUAGCUGGUUCCUGCCGAAGUUUCCCUCAGGAUAGCAGUAACGCGGAUCAGUUUUAUGAGGUAAAGCGAAUGAUUAGAGGCAUUGGGGUUGAAACAACCUUAACCUAUUCUCAAACUUUAAAUAUGUAAGAAGCCCUUGUUUCUUAGUUGAACGUGGGCAUUAGAAUGGAGCGUUACUAGUGGGCCAUUUUUGGUAAGCAGAACUGGCGAUGCGGGAUGAACCGAACGCGAGGUUAAGGUGCCGGAAUGCACGCUCAUCAGACACCACAAAAGGUGUUGGUUCAUCUAGACAGCCCGACGGUGGCCAUGGAAGUCGGAAUCCGCUAAGGAGUGUGUAACAACUCACGGGCCGAAUGAACUAGCCCUGAAAAUGGAUGGCGCUCAAGCGUGCUACCCAUACCUCGCCGUCGGGGUAGAAACGAUGCCCCGACGAGUAGGCAGGCGUGGGGGUCCGUGACGAAGC